RNAcentral lists this ribosomal RNA (301 nucleotides) under uncultured soil bacterium. Its description in RNAcentral is "bacterial SSU rRNA". It matches the Rfam family "Bacterial small subunit ribosomal RNA", at positions 26 to 334 of the family's 1533-position model. The record is from RNAcentral.
AGGACGAACGCUGGCGGCGUGCUUAACACAUGCAAGUCGAGCGGAAAGGCCCUUCGGGGUACUCGAGCGGCGAACGGGUGAGUAACACGUGAGGAACCUGCCCCGGACUUUGGGAUAACCCUCGGAAACGGGGGCUAAUACCGAAUAUGACUUCGCAUCGCAUGAUGCUUGGUGGAAAGUUUUUCGGCUGGGAUGGUCUCGCGGCCUAUCAGCUUGUGGUGGGUAAUGGCCUACCAAGGCGACGACGGGUAGCCGGCCUGAGACGGGCGACGGCCACGACGUGGACUGAGACACGGCCCAG